RNAcentral lists this transfer RNA (69 nucleotides) under Chattonella subsalsa. Lineage: Eukaryota; Raphidophyceae; Chattonellales; Chattonellaceae. The record is from RNAcentral.
UGUAUAGCUCAGUCAGUAGAACGUGCGCUUGUUGAGCGUAAGGAUGUAAGAUCGAUUCCUGGUGUGUCC